GUUAACCUACGGGACGCAGCAGUGGGGGAUAUUGGACAAUGGGGGAAACCCUGAUCCAGCGAUGCCGCGUGAGGGAAGAAGGUUUUCGGAUUGUAAACCUCUGUGGAGGGGGACGAUAAUGACGGUACCCCUUUAGGAAGCCACGGCUAACUACGUGCCAGCAGCCGCGGUAAUACGUAGGGGGCAAGCGUUAUCCGGAAUUACUGGGUGUAAAGGGAGCGUAGACGGCUGUGCAAGUCUGGAGUGAAAGGCGGGGGCACAA
Molecule: ribosomal RNA, 262 nt
Filed under: uncultured bacterium
Lineage: Bacteria
Description: partial 16S ribosomal RNA
Rfam family: Bacterial small subunit ribosomal RNA
Source: RNAcentral